CUGGAGGUAUCAGAAGUGCGAAUGCUGACAUAAGUAACGAUAAAGCGGGUGAAAAGCCCGCUCGCCGGAAGACCAAGGGUUCCUGUCCAACGUUAAUCGGGGCAGGGUGAGUCGACCCCUAAGGCGAGGCCGAAAGGCGUAGUCGAUGGGAAACGGGUUAAUAUUCCCGUACUUGGUGUUACUGCGAAGGGGGGACGGAGAAGGCUAUGUUGGCCGGGCGACGGUUGUCCCGGUUUAAGCGUGUAGGUGUGUGUUCCAGGUAAAUCCGGUUCACUUUAA
RNAcentral lists this ribosomal RNA (279 nucleotides) under Salmonella enterica. RNAcentral's name for it is "partial 23S ribosomal RNA". It matches the Rfam family "Bacterial large subunit ribosomal RNA", at positions 1273 to 1555 of the family's 2925-position model. The record is from RNAcentral. Lineage: Bacteria; Pseudomonadati; Pseudomonadota; Gammaproteobacteria; Enterobacterales; Enterobacteriaceae.